RNAcentral lists this ribosomal RNA (466 nucleotides) under uncultured Desulfobacter sp. RNAcentral describes it as "bacterial SSU rRNA". It matches the Rfam family "Bacterial small subunit ribosomal RNA", at positions 916 to 1382 of the family's 1533-position model. Lineage: Bacteria; Pseudomonadati; Thermodesulfobacteriota; Desulfobacteria; Desulfobacterales; Desulfobacteraceae. The record is from RNAcentral.
GGGGCCCGCACAAGCGGUGGAGCAUGUGGUUUAAUUCGACGCAACGCGAAGAACCUUACCUGGGUUUGACAUCCUGUGAAUAUCCUGUAAUUGGGAUAGUGCCUUCGGGAGCACAGAGACAGGUGCUGCAUGGCUGUCGUCAGUUCGUGUCGUGAGAUGUUUGGUUAAGUCCAGCAACGAGCGCAACCCUUAUCGUUAGUUGCCAGCAUUUAAAGAUGGGAACUCUAACGAGACUGCCCGGGUCAACCGGGAGGAAGGUGGGGAUGACGUCAAGUCCUCAUGGCCCUUAUAUCCAGGGCUACACACGUGCUACAAUGGUAGGUACAAAGGGCAGCGACUCCGCAAGGGGAAGCCAAUCCCAAAAGCCUAUCUCAGUCCGGAUUGGGGUCUGCAACUCGACCCCAUGAAGUUGGAAUCGCUAGUAAUCGCGGAUCAGCAUGCCGCGGUGAAUAUGUUCCCGGGCCUU